Molecule: transfer RNA, 72 nt
Filed under: Camelus bactrianus (Bactrian camel)
Lineage: Eukaryota; Metazoa; Chordata; Mammalia; Artiodactyla; Camelidae
Also listed under: 1 other name
Rfam family: tRNA
About the family: Transfer RNA (tRNA) molecules are approximately 80 nucleotides in length. Their secondary structure includes four short double-helical elements and three loops (D, anti-codon, and T loops). Further hydrogen bonds mediate the characteristic L-shaped molecular structure. tRNAs have two regions of fundamental functional importance: the anti-codon, which is responsible for specific mRNA codon recognition, and the 3' end, to which the tRNAs corresponding amino acid is attached (by aminoacyl-tRNA synthetases). tRNAs cope with the degeneracy of the genetic code in two manners: having more than one tRNA (with a specific anti-codon) for a particular amino acid; and 'wobble' base-pairing, i.e. permitting non-standard base-pairing at the 3rd anti-codon position.
Source: Rfam by way of RNAcentral
GAGGGUAUAGCUCAGUGGUAGAGUGCCUGCUUAGCAUGCACGAGGUCCUGGGUUCAAUCCUGAAGACCUUCA